Molecule: ribosomal RNA, 454 nt
Filed under: uncultured bacterium
Lineage: Bacteria
Description: partial 16S ribosomal RNA
Rfam family: Bacterial small subunit ribosomal RNA
Source: RNAcentral
GAUGAACGCUGCCAGAAUGCUUAACACAUGCAAGUCUACUUGAACUUCGGUUUGGGUGGCGGACGGGUGAGUAACGCGUAAAGAACUUGCCUCACAGUUAGGGACAACAUUUGGAAACGAAUGCUAAUACCUGAUAUUAUGAUUUUAGGGCAUCCUAAGAUUAUGAAAGCUAUAUGCACUGUGAGAGAGCUUUGCGUCCCAUUAGCUAGUUGGAGAGGUAACGGCUCACCAAGGCGAUGAUGGGUAGCCGGCCUGAGAGGGUGAACGGCCACAAGGGGACUGAGACACGGCCCUUACUCCUACGGGAGGCAGCAGUGGGGAAUAUUGGACAAUGGACCAAAAGUCUGAUCCAGCAAUUCUGUGUGCACGAUGACGUUUUUCGGAAUGUAAAGUGCUUUCAGUUGGGAAGAAAAAAAUGACGGUACCAACAGAAGAAGUGACGGCUAAAUACGUG